GACGAACGCUGGCGGCGUGCUUAACACAUGCAAGUCGAACGGAAAGGCCCGGCCUUUGUGGGGUGCUCGAGUUGCGAACUGGUGAGUAACACGUGAGUAACCUGCCCUUGACUUUGGGAUAACUUCAGGAAACUUGGUCUAAUACCGGAUAGGAGCUCCUGCUGCUGGGUGGGGGCGGGAAAGUUUCGCCGGUUGGGGAUGGACUGGCGGCUUAUCAGCUUGUUGGUGGGGUAGUGUGUUACCAAGUCUUUGACGGGUAGCCGGCCUGAGCGGGUGACCGGCCACAUUGGGACUGGGAUACGGCCCAGACCCCACCGGGAGGCAGCAGUGGGGAAUAUUGCACAAUGGGCGGAAGCCUGAUGCAGCACAGCAGCGUGCGGGAUGAGGGCCUUCGGGUUGUAAACCGCUUUCGCCUGUGACGAAGCGUGAAUGACGGUAAUGGGUAAAGAAGCACCGGCUAACUACGUG
Molecule: ribosomal RNA, 468 nt
Filed under: uncultured bacterium
Lineage: Bacteria
Description: partial 16S ribosomal RNA
Rfam family: Bacterial small subunit ribosomal RNA
Source: RNAcentral